UGAGGAAUAUUGCGCAAUGGACGAAAGUCUGACGCAGCCAUGCCGCGUGCAGGAUGACGGCGCUACGCGUUGUAAACUGCUUUUAUAUACCAAGAAACCUCAGGACGUGUCCUGAGCUGACGGUAGUAUAUGAAUAAGCACCGGCUAACUCCGUGCCAGCAGCCGCGGUAAUACGGAGGGUGCAAGCGUUAUCCGGAUUUAUUGGGUUUAAAGGGUCCGUAGGCGGAUGAUUAAGUCAGUGGUGAAAGCCCACAGCUCAACUGUGGAACUGCCAUUGAUACUGAUUGUCUUGAGUACGUUUGAUGUUGGCGGAAUAUGUCAUGUAGCGGUGAAAUGCUUAGAUAUGACAU
This 350-nucleotide ribosomal RNA is filed under the name uncultured bacterium. Its description in RNAcentral is "bacterial SSU rRNA". It matches the Rfam family "Bacterial small subunit ribosomal RNA", at positions 355 to 702 of the family's 1533-position model. The record is from RNAcentral.